Molecule: ribosomal RNA, 207 nt
Filed under: uncultured bacterium
Lineage: Bacteria
Description: partial 16S ribosomal RNA
Rfam family: Bacterial small subunit ribosomal RNA
Source: RNAcentral
CGCGCAGGCGGUUCCGUUAGUCGGACGUGAAAGCUCCCGGCUUAACUGGGAGAGGCCGUUCGAAACUGCGGGACUUGAGGUUGGGAGAGGGGUGUGGAAUUCCCGGUGUAGUGGUGGAAUGCGUAGAUAUCGGGAGGAACACCAGUGGCGAAGGCGGCACCCUGGCCCACACCUGACGCUGAAGUGCGAAAGCGUGGGGAGCAAACA